GCGGGCCCAACUGGGAGAACUGGGAUGGUCCCAGCAUGGUGGGCACCCAUGGGUCCAAUUGGGACAGUCCCAUCACAGUGGGCACCUAUGGGACCAACUGGGCCCAACUGGGAGUACUGGGAUGGUCCCAGCAUGGGGGACACCCAUGGGUCCAACUGGGACAGUCCUGUCAUGGUGGGCACCUAUCGGCCCUACUGGGCCCAACUGGGAGUACUGGGAUGGUCCCACCAGGGUGGGCACCCAUGGGCCCAAAUGGGACCAACUGGGAGUACUGGGAUGGACCCAUCAUGGUGGGCAUCCAUGGGCCCAACUGGGAUCAACUGGGAAUACUGGGAUGGUCCCACCAUGGUGGGCACUCAUGGAACCCAACUGGGCCCAACUGGGAGUACUGGGACGGUCCCACCAUGGUGGCCACCCAUGGGACCAACUGGACCUAACUGGGAGUACUGGGAUGGUCCCAUCAUGGUGGGCACCCAUGGAACCCAACUGGACCCAACUGGGAGUACUGGGUUGGACCCAUCAUGGUGGGCACCCAUGGGACCAACUGGGCCCAACUGGGAGUACUGGGAUGGUCCCACCAUGUUGGGCACCCAUUGGCCCAAUUGGGUCCAACUGGGAGUACUGGGAUGGUCCCAUCAUGGGGGACACCCAUGGAACCCAACUGGGCCCAACUGGGAGUACUGGGACGGUCCCACCAUGGUGGGCACCCAUGGGCCCAACUGGGACCGACUGGUAGAACUGGGAUGGACCCACCAUGGUGGGCACUCAUGGAACCCAACUGGACCCAACUGGGAAUACUGGGAUGGACCCAUUAUGGUGGGCACUCAUGGAACCCAACUGGUCCCAACUGGGAGUACUGUGAUGGACCCAUUGUGGUGGGCACCCAUGGGCCCAACUGGGUGAACUGGGAAGGUCUCACCAUGGUGGGCACCCAGGGGCCUUACUGGGCCCAACUGGGUGAACUGGGAUGGUCCCACCAUGGUGGGCACCCAUGGAACCCAACCGGUUCCAACUGGGAGUACUGGGAAGGUCCCAGCAUGGUGGGCACCCAUGGGCCUAAUUGGGUCCAACUGGGAGUACUGGGAUAGACCCAUCAUGGUGGUCACCCAUGGAACCCAACUGGGAUGGGCCCAGCAUGGUGGGCACCUAUGGGCCCUACUGGGAGAAUUGGGAUGGUCCCAGCAUGGGGGACACCCAUUGGCCCAACCAGGACUAACUGGGAGUACUGGGACGGACCCAACAUGGUGGGUACCCAUGGAACCCAACUGGUAGUACUGGGAUGGACCCAUUAUAGUGGACACCCAUGGAACCUAAAUGGGCCUAACUGGGAACACUGGGAUGGUCCCACCCCACCACGGUGGGCACCCAUGGGUGCUGGGUGCCACCCUUGGGUGCCGUUGGCCAUGACUCACCCGGUGGCCAGCCCGUCCU
Molecule: long non-coding RNA, 1431 nt
Filed under: Anas platyrhynchos platyrhynchos (common mallard)
Lineage: Eukaryota; Metazoa; Chordata; Aves; Anseriformes; Anatidae
Description: lncRNA (ENSAPLG00000020834.1)
Source: RNAcentral